CUCGCGCGAGGCAUGUGCACGCUUCUCGUUUUUCUCUCAACUCACCUGUGCACCUAAUGUAGGAUGCCUCUCCUCCGGGAGGGGGGACCUAUGUCUUCGUAUCAUCUUCGUGUAGAAAGUCUUUGAAUGUUUACUAUCAUCGAGUCGCGACUUCUAGGAGACGCGAUUCUUUGAGAUAAAAGUUAUUACAACUUUCAGCAACGGAUCUCUUGGCUCUCGCAUCGAUGAAGAACGCAGCGAAAAGCGAUAUGUAAUGUGAAUUGCAGAUCUACAGUGAAUCAUSGAAUCUUUGAACGCACCUUGCGCUCCUCGGUGUUCCGAGGAGCAUGCCUGUUUGAGUGUCAGUAAAUUCUCAACCCCUCUCGAUUAGCUUCGAGAGGGCGCUUGGAUAGUGGAGGUUGCCGGAGACUUGGAUUCGUCCGAGACUCGGGCUCUUCUGAAAUGCAUCGGCUUGCGGUCGACUUUCGACUAUGUGCGACAAGGCUUUCGGCGUGAUAAUGAUCGC
Molecule: ribosomal RNA, 505 nt
Filed under: Rhizopogon cf. salebrosus GO-2009-223
Lineage: Eukaryota; Fungi; Basidiomycota; Agaricomycetes; Boletales; Rhizopogonaceae
Description: eukaryotic LSU rRNA
Rfam family: 5.8S ribosomal RNA (bases 190-344)
Source: RNAcentral